Molecule: long non-coding RNA, 3100 nt
Filed under: Solanum lycopersicum (tomato)
Lineage: Eukaryota; Viridiplantae; Streptophyta; Magnoliopsida; Solanales; Solanaceae
Description: partial TCONS_00161717
Source: RNAcentral
GGGAAAAUGAAUUUAAAGUGGGUGUUGAGUUAGGUGGUCUCUGUAUCUGCAUUCUAUCGAUACUUUAGUAAUAUUUAUUUUGUUGUCAGUAGUUGCAGAUAGAGAAAUUUCAAAGAAGAAUUUGAAGGGGUUUGCCGGAAAACUCGAGAAUGAGUGGUUCCCGGUUCAUAAAGUGUGUGACCGUCGGCGACGGAGCAUUUGGUAAAACUUGUUUACUCAUUUGAUAUAUCAGCAAUACUUUCCCAACUGUAAGUUCUUCCUUUCUCAGACCAACGAACAAUUGGGGUUUAUGAGAAAAGUUCGACUUUGUACUUCACGAAUGUGUAAGUUACCAUAAAUGAAAUUCUUAUUUUGGGUAGUGUAGUUGUAGUUCUGUACACCUUUAUUUGUUUGAUUACUGGGAAUUUAUUGAUUUUUAGGGAGCGAGAGAAUCAUUGUAGCAUAAGCCAUUUCAUAGACUAAUGUUCCUGUCUUUCUUAGUCCCGUUGAUGAUUGAAACAAGAUACUCCUUCUGUUGUAUUUUUCCGUUGUCUUUUCCGAUAGUGUUUGAAGUAGUAUAUGAUUGUGAAGUUUUCUUACGAUUAUCUCAUUGAUGUUCUUUAUUGACAGAAGGGCAGUGGCUUUGCCUAUUUGUAAUUGAAUGGAAGUUUGAGUCAUAGCUGUAUUUGGUUCUUUAUACGAGAGCCCAAGAACCUGCUCUAUGUUAUUUUUCAUGUGUCCGUAGAAUUCCUCACCGGAAAACACCUGCUUUUGUUAUUGUUUUGCGUGUGUAGGUGGAGGAGGGAGAUGAGGUGAAAGCUAUUCUACAUGUUGUUUUUUAGCAUUUGGUGUUAAUUAGUUGAAAUGUGUUUAGCUGAUGAAAAGAUGAUGCUUUGUUGAUGAUCCUGCCUCUGAACUAAAAAGUGUAGUUUCUAAGAUAGAAGCAUGAGUGUUCUCUUCAAAGUCAUAAAUGAGUGGAAAACAUUGAGCUUUAAAUAUAUGCACUUCCGUUUAGUAAGUUCAUUUGUAACAGUGGUGGUUGUGAAUCCCUCAAAUGGAACUUUCUGGUUCAUCACACUCUAAAUUUGCUUGCUUUGUUGUAAACAGGAUUAUGUCCCAACUAUGUUUGACAAAUUUAGUGCAAAUGUAGUUGUGGAAUCUUGGUUUGUGGGAUACUGCAGGUCAGGAGGAUUACAACAGAUUAAGACCCUUGAGCUAUCGUGGGGCUGAUGUUUUUAUACUAGCAUUUUCGCUCGUCAGCAAGGCCAGCCAUGAAAAUGUCUUUAAAAAGGUGUAAUCUCCUUUCUAGAAUUAGAUCUCUAACUUUCAAAUUAAUUUUGCCUGCUCACAUAAAUGGCUGUGAGGUCAAAGAAACAUGUGUUAUGGCCAUCUCCCCAUUAUCUUGAUAGCACUCCAUAGAAGACUUUGACUGGCUUAACUUUUACUUUAGUUCUUCGAUUCAGUAAAGUUGAUUAUUUGGAUCACUUUUCAUCAUCAAGGGCUGGGUAAAUGAUGCCUAUAAGAGAAAGAAGAUGAAUGAGAUGUAUGGUUCGAGAUAUUCCACAAUUUACAUGAACUAAUACAUUUUGCUCUUGCUAUUUAAUUUCAGUGGCUUCCUGAAUUGAGGCAUUAUGCCCAAGGAGUUCCAAUCAUUCUUGUUGGAACAAAGCUAGGUUAGUAUGUCCUCAAUUCAAUUAUUUGUGUCCUAUAAAUACCUCUACGUGGUUGGAAAGGUCUCUUCAUUUGUCUCCCAUUAUUGCAAGUUUCUACUUUAUUUUCAUUAGAGACAAUUUUCUUGAACGGUGGUUGCAUCUGUUAUGUUGGACAUCUUGCCUUGAAUGUAUGGAUGAGUUGUGAAAUGUCAGACAAUCCUGGCGGUGACUUUAUUCAUGAGUCCAGAAUCAUAAGAGCAAAAAUAUUGAGAGAAAUUUCCAAAAGGGCAAUAAAAAUAAGUUUGAACCAAAAUGAUAACAUUUAAACGGGAGGGAAACGAUGUUUAGUACUGCAUAUGCUGCUACACAUGACUUAUUUGAGGCAUAUGUUGCUAUAGAUGACUCAUCUUUUGCUACAAAUCAACCUUAUGUAACAACAUUUGACCAUAUAGUGGGUAUUUAAAGUUAAAAGAAAAUUGGUUGAAACAUCAUAAAAUAUAACAUCACAGAUUAAAUAAAACAUUAUCUUUAAUUUACAAACACAUUGUCAAGACACUAAGUUCUUAUCUACUAUCUCAGCAACCCAACUCCAUUGCAAUCGACCAAUUGUAUUGUCACACAAGGUGUUGAGGUUAAAUUGGUGUGUUGGUAAAUCAAAUACUCAAUAAAUGUGAACGAAUAUGACCUGCACACAGCAUCGGGUGUGAUUUUUUACCAUUGAUUCCAGUCGACCUUCAAAUUUCCAUGAUUCAUUGAGCAGCUUAUUUGUCAAAUACUUCAUUAUUCCGCUUUGCCUCAACAAGAUUGACAACAAGUCGAACAUGGGUUGUAUGAAUAUCAAAAACUUAUCAUGUUUCAAAUUCGUCAAUUUCAGAUGCACUCUCCUCUGAAUUACUGUCUACUGCUUUCCUCUUUCUUCCUCGUUGUACAAUUUUAAUGCUCUAGCUUUGGCAUUGUUAAGAACUUUUUGAAUUGCCUUAGGGACAUAUUUUUUCAUUGAUCUCAAUUCUUCCAUUGUUUGUUCAUGUUGAACUUGUUUGGAUUUUACCAUAGACCCUACAUCAAUCCCAAAACCUUGAGUUAAACCCAUUGAAAACGAGAGUAAGUUGUCAACAAAAUUGACAUGCAAUGGAAUAGCUCUGGUAAUCCUCAUAAAUGAAUAUGAUUCAUUCAUUCUGAUUUUGAAAAAAUUGUAAUCUAAUAAGAACACUCGAUUAUUUCACCAAAAAAACAUGAAAAAAAGUAAGAAACACAAUACAUUACAAUUGUUGAAUAAGGAAAAAAAUUGUACACGACUAAAUUUUAGGAUUACCUGCGAAAGUUGAAUUCAAUUUCAGGAGGGAUAAAUUGAAUUUUUGCCAAUUUGAAAUUCAAAAUCGAAUAGAAGUAUUGAUUAUAGGAGAAAAAGGUGGAAUAUGAAUAUGAGAGAUAAUAUUAAUUUGUAUAAAAUUAAAUACAAAAUUGAAUAA